Molecule: unclassified non-coding RNA, 378 nt
Filed under: plant metagenome
Description: partial contains 5.8S ribosomal RNA, internal transcribed spacer 2, and large subunit ribosomal RNA
Rfam family: 5.8S ribosomal RNA (bases 1-105)
Source: RNAcentral
GAAAUGCGAUAAGUAAUGUGAAUUGCAGAAUUCAGUGAAUCAUCGAAUCUUUGAACGCAUCUUGCGCUCCUUGGUAUUCCUUGGAGCAUGCCUGUUUGAGUAUCAUGAAAUCUUCAAAGUAAAUCUUUUGUUAACUCAAUUGGUUUCUACUUUGGUAUUGGAGGUCUUUGCAGCUUCACACCUGCUCCUCUUUGUUCAUUAGCUGGAUCUCAGUGUUAUGCUUGGUUCCACUCGGCGUGAUAAGUUAUCUAUCGCUGAGGACACUGUAAAAGGUGGCCAAGGUAAAUGCAGAUGAACCGCUUCUAAUAGUCCAUUGACUUGGACAAUACUUUUAUGAUCUGAUCUCAAAUCAGGUAGGAAUACCCGCUGAACUUAAGC